UUAAGAGAGCAAUGGUUACUCAGGAGUAUAGGAGAGAGAGUAGUGGUCACUUAUUGCUAUAGCCCAACCAAGCCUUGGCUGCCCUAUGCUUAAAUAUACUUAAGAUGUGUGUAAAGACACACGUGUGUGUAUUGAGACAUGAUGUAAAAUGCAUUUCUUACUGUGAGUUGAGAUAAAAAUUUUUGAGGUUUCAUAAGCAGGUAAAAAGUGGUAUCUGAGCAAGCAAGUUGUGGGGAUGAAUAGGGGAGCUUGGAGCUCUAAAUUCUUGCACAGGAAGGGCCCAGGAGUUACUAUAGAUAGUAAGAGUAUAGACUCAUUCAGCACACAGUGUAAGGCCACCAAGAAGCUGAGUCCCAAUAGGAAAGAAAAGAAAGAUCCCAUCUUUCUCUUGUACAAAAUUAUGUUCUUUCCCCACUUAGAAGAGACAAAACAGCAGGGAUGGCUACAAAAUGGCAGGAUUACCCAGUCAGUGCAGCUGCUUAGUGCCACACUGCACUACUCCAGAGGGUGCUCUCACACAGACUGCAAUGUGAGUAGCUCCCCCUGGAGUUGAGCGGUGCACAACCCAAACAACCCUACCAGGCAACCAUAAGUAUAGUGAUUAAGAGCACAAGCUUUGGAGUCCAACAAACCCGGGGGCUUGUCUCAGACUGAAUCCCAGACUAUAUAACCUGGGGCAGGUUAUUUAGCCUCCUUGAACCUCAGUUUUCCAAACAGAAUAUGUUAUACAUCCCUAGGCUCUAUUUCAGUGUCUGGCAUUGAAUAACAAUAAAUAUGUGUUAAAUGAAUUGAGCUAAUACUAGUACCUGCCUAUAAGGUGCUGGUGAGGAGCAAAGAAAUUGACAUAUGAAAGGUUUUUAAUAUCUACAAAAGAUGACAGACUGAAAUAGUAACAUUCUCCAGGAUGGAAAGAUACAUGCCAGGUAGGAAUUGUUUGUUCAAAUUGCUAUUUUUUAAAAGCUAUAAGCUAUGGAGAGAACAACAGAUUUUUUUUUUUUAAUCCGGAUACGGUGGAACUCUGGUAGGAUGUGAACAGUUCUUGAAGCUUGAGAAUACAUUUGGAACAAAUAAAAAGUAGGAAAUGCAUACAUGUUAUUUACAGUUGUAGGGCAGGUAGGGGCAAAAUGUGUUGAUAAACUCAAAGAAUUUUAAGAAUGAUAUUGUCAUGAGCCAUGAGCCAUGGAAGCUGCAGAGUUUGGGCUCACUCCUGCCAUCGGGUGAGGGGUGUCAGCGGAAGGGGGUGUGUGUCCUUUCCUCUCCCAGUGUUUAUUUCCUAGUGGAACCGUGGUUUUGACGCAGUCAUGACAACUCUUCAUCCUUAUUAAAGUCACACAAUGAAGCAGGUCGCCCAAGAUUGAAAGCACGUUUCCAGGGCGGACUCCGGUUCCUGCCUUUGGCCAGCAAAAGUACAUUCUGGCAGGGAGGGAUCUCUGAGCCCCGAAGUGAGGUCAUGCCAGUUAGCAGUUAGAAAAGGAGGCAUUUCUCACACUUGCUAAUGAGUUUGACGCUUGUGAAAUAUAAACAGGAAGUGGGAGCUCUCCAAGGCGACCUGAAGGAAAUACACUCCCAGUUUGGUCAACUUGUGAAUGCCAGUUCUCUAGGUCGUCAAGGACACUGCCAGUUAAGACUGACUCCCUAACUGCACCCGAGGCUACUCUUCACCCAGUCUCAGCAGUGACCCCAUUUUUUUUUUCAAUCCUUCCCACUGCCAGGUCACUCAGCAGCGCGGUGACUGACCCAAAGCGCAGUGGGAAAGGCUUACAGUCAUCUCUCAACUCCCCGAACUUGCAGGGCAGGGGAGCGCAGAGGUCAGUGAAAUCCCCAGCCAGGCCUUAUUUUAGUCAUGAGUUUCCACUGGCUCCCUCCUCUGACUGUAUCAGCGCUGCUCACAACGCGGGAUUGGAGUUUCAGCUGUUUUCCCUGCUCCAGGCUGAGUGAGAAGGUCACAGAGCCCGGACUUUUCCGGGGGAGACCGCAAACAGCGCCGCCGAAGUUCUCAACAGGCAGGGAGAGGGCCGAUCCGGGUUGGCACACCACGUCCCCGGGGUCUCAGUCCCUGGGUCAACGCAGAGGGGCUCGCGGUCCGCGGCGCUGCGACCUGAGCCCCGGCCACGUGAAGCGUCACGCCCUGCGCUGCUGCAGGGCAGGCGCCGCCGCCGCGGUUGUGUAACGCUGCAGCCGGAGGGGAGGCGACCCGGGCGCCUCUGCUCUGGAGGGGGCAGAGGAGGGAGGGAACACCGGGCACCGUGCCCGGUAUCUUUCUGUGCUUGACUGGCCGGGAGGAAGGGGGUGACACUGGGGCACCCAGGGGGCUGCGCAACCAGGUGCCCGCCCGCCCGCAGGCUGUGCCCGGGAGCGGAGCUCCUGGGGAGCGAGGGGCCCUCGGCUCACACCCUCCUCGGUCAGGUGCGCGCGGCGUGCUCGCCGGCAGCCUCAGCUGCCCCUGCGCUUGGCUGUCUGCCCGCUUCCCAUGGGGUGACAUCCGCCCCGCCCCUCGGUCCCUCCCCAAGGCGGGCAAUUCCUGGACGCGAGGGUGAGCAGUGGGGGCAGGGAAGCCAGGACGGAAAGAAACCCCAGCCUCUGGGGAAGGCUGGGGGGCCGGGCGACUCCCUCCGCUGCGCGCCGGUUCCUCCAAGCGGGCCGGGCGGGGGAGGAGGAAGAGGGCUGGGCUGGAGCUAGCAAGGGGAUAUUCCUCUCCCGGCUUGAGUCAGACGCGGGCGGAUCCGUCCUCCCCCGUUCCCUCCCAGGAGACGGGAACUUACUUCAUUUCCCUGGGGCAGGUUCGCCCACGUUACCAACUCUCCCCCUCCCCCAGCACCCCCGUCCCUUCCAGCUUCCGCGCCCCCCACCCAACUGGGCAGGACCCAGGUUGCGCUGCCACCCCCUCUUCGGGGAAAGGCGGCCGCAGCCGCAGACACCUGGGGGCCGGGGCUGGGGGUGGGGGCUCCCUAGCAGCCGCCGGAGCGUUGUCCAACACGUGAGACUCAUGUGAUGAAGCCGGGGGAGGGCGGGCAGGUCGCUCCUUCCCUCCCCGGCAGUGGCCAGACGUGCCUGGAGUCACAGGGUAGAACACGUAGCUCCAACCCACCCACUCGCUCCCAUUUAACCCAGCCCGCAGCCUCUCCAUUACUCCUCGGCUUGUGCCCCCACCCCCCCCCCUCCGCCCU
RNA transcript from Cercocebus atys (sooty mangabey), 3167 nucleotides. RefSeq lists it as uncharacterized. The transcript is spliced from 2 exons. Lineage: Eukaryota; Metazoa; Chordata; Mammalia; Primates; Cercopithecidae. The record is from RefSeq and is a predicted model, not a curated record.